RNAcentral lists this ribosomal RNA (452 nucleotides) under uncultured bacterium. RNAcentral's name for it is "partial 16S ribosomal RNA". It matches the Rfam family "Bacterial small subunit ribosomal RNA", at positions 28 to 505 of the family's 1533-position model. The record is from RNAcentral.
GAUGAACGCUGACAGAAUGCUUAACACAUGCAAGUCCACUUGAACUUCGGUUUGGGUGGCGGACGGGUGAGUAACGCGUAAAGAACUUGCCUCACAGAUAGGGACAACAUUUGGAAACGAAUGCUAAUACCUGAUAUUAUGAUUAUAUGGCAUCGUAUAAUUAUGAAAGCUAUAUGCGCUGUGAGAGAGCUUUGCGUCCCAUUAGCUAGUUGGAGAGGUAACGGCUCACCAAGGCGAUGAUGGGUAGCCGGCCUGAGAGGGUGAUCGGCCACAAGGGGACUGAGACACGGCCCUUACUCCUACGGGAGGCAGCAGUGGGGAAUAUUGGACAAUGGACCAAGAGUCUGAUCCAGCAAUUCUGUGUGCACGAUGAAGUUUUUCGGAAUGUAAAGUGCUUUCAGUUGGGAAGAAAAAAAUGACGGUACCAACAGAAGAAGUGACGGCGAAAUACG